ACUCAAAGGAAUAGACGGGGGCCCGCACAAGCAGUGGAGUAUGUGGUUUAAUUCGAAGCAACGCGAAGAACCUUACCAGGGCUUGACAUGUAGAUGAAUACUUAAGAGAUUAAGUAGUCCUUUGGGACAUCUACACAGGUGGUGCAUGGUUGUCGUCAGCUCGUGUCGUGAGAUGUUGGGUUAAGUCCCGCAACGAGCGCAACCCCUGUGAUUAGUUGAUAACACGUAGAGGUGAUAACUUUAAUCAGACUGCCGUAGAUAAUACGGAGGAAGGUGGGGACGACGUCAAAUCAUCAUGCCCUAUAUGUCCUGGGCAACACACGUACUACAAUGGUAGCAACAGAGAGAAGCGAAGUAGAGAUAUGGAGCAAAACUUAGAAAAGCUAUCACAGUUCGGAUUGCAGGCUGAAACUCGCCUGCAUGAAGCCGGAAUUGCUAGUAAUGGCAGGUCAGCAUACUGCCGUGAAUACGUUCCCGGGCCUUGCACACACCGCCCGU
This 498-nucleotide ribosomal RNA is filed under the name uncultured bacterium. Its description in RNAcentral is "bacterial SSU rRNA". It matches the Rfam family "Bacterial small subunit ribosomal RNA", at positions 899 to 1397 of the family's 1533-position model. The record is from RNAcentral.